GAUGAACGCUGGCGGCGUGCUUAACACAUGCAAGUCGAACGAGAAGUGAAGACGCAAACUUUCCGGCGGAAGGCUUCAUUUCGAGUGGCGGACGGGUGAGUAACGCGCUGGUAACCUGCCUCAUACAGGGGGAUAACAGUUGGAAACGACUGUUAAUACCGCAUAAGACCACAGCAACGCAUGGUGCGGGGGUAAAGACUCCGGUGGUAUGAGAUGGACCCGCUUUCCAUUAACCAGAUGGAGGGGUAACCGCCCACAACAGCGACGAUCGAACGCCGGUAUGGGGGGAUGGCCGGCAACAUUGGGAGUGGGACACGUACCAAACUCCUACGGGAGGCCGCAGUGGGGAAGAUGGCACAAUGGGGGAAUCCCUGAUGCAGCGGCGCCGCGUGAGUGAAGAAGUAUUUCGGUAUGUAAGGCUAUGUCAGCAGGGACGAAAAGGACGGAACCGGAGAAAGAGGCCCCGGCUAACUACGU
RNAcentral lists this ribosomal RNA (477 nucleotides) under uncultured bacterium. RNAcentral describes it as "partial 16S ribosomal RNA". It matches the Rfam family "Bacterial small subunit ribosomal RNA", at positions 28 to 506 of the family's 1533-position model. The record is from RNAcentral.